UCUUAAUAAGGGAAUCUUGGGAUUUGAAAAGCAACAUCGAGAGGAAUGAAGCAGCUAUCAGGAAGAAAGAAGAGUGAAAUGCAUGUUUUGAGUAUUUAAGAUGGCAAUUCUGCCUAGGCUUUCAAGAGAUAUGAAAAGGACAAGUGGCGUAACUUGAGUGUCACAGCUGGAGGAUGUGGCUCAAGAGAAAUCGUGUGCCUAAGGUUGUCACCGAACCAAUGGAUGACGAUACAAGCAAUCUGGACAAUGCCCCGACUACAGUGAUCGAUGCCAAACCACUGGCAAUGGUUGUUGAACCCAAGCAGGUUGAGUGCAGUCCAGGGAAGUCAGUUGCUAGGUAUGUGCAGUGAAAUCUCGUCGAGGGGGAAGAAGUGGUCGAUGCGGCGUCGCUAGCGGCCACCAAGCACUAUAACCCAAUCCAGAAAGUGAUACUCUGAGUAUGUAUCCAGACUAGAGAACUGGGCACUGGGGCUUGAAAAUUUUGUCUUUCCUUUGAAGUAUUGGUAUCAA
This is a long non-coding RNA of Lolium rigidum, 510 nucleotides long. RefSeq lists it as uncharacterized. The record is from RefSeq and is a predicted model, not a curated record. The transcript has 3 exons. Lineage: Eukaryota; Viridiplantae; Streptophyta; Magnoliopsida; Poales; Poaceae.